ACGGGUGAGUAACGCGUGGGUAACCUGGCCCAUACAGGGGGAUAACACUUAGAAAUAGGUGCUAAUACCGCAUAACAACAGAAAGCGCAUGCUUUUUGUUUGAAAACCAAGGUGGUAUGGGAUGGACCCGCGUCUGAUUAGCUGGUUGGCGGGGUAAAGGCCCACCAAGGCGACGAUCAGUAGCCGGCCUGAGAGGGUGGACGGCCACAUUGGGACUGAGACACGGCCCAAACUCCUACGGGAGGCAGCAGUGGGGAAUAUUGCACAAUGGGAGAAACCCUGAUGCAGCGACGCCGCGUGUGUGAAGAAGUAAUUCGUUAUGUAAAGCUCUAUCAGCAGGGAAGAAAAUGACGGUACCUGAGUAAGAAGCCCCGGCUAACUACGUGCCAGCAGCCGCGGUAAUACGUAGGGGGCAAGCGUUAUCCGGAUUUACUGGGUGUAAAGGGAGCGUACACGGCAGUGCAAGUCUGGAGUGAAAGGCGGGGGCUCAACCCCCGGACUGCUCUGGAAACUGUACGGCUGGAGUGCAAGAGAGGUAAGUGGAAUUCCUAGUGUAGCGGUGAAAUGCGU
RNAcentral lists this ribosomal RNA (570 nucleotides) under uncultured bacterium. RNAcentral's name for it is "bacterial SSU rRNA". It matches the Rfam family "Bacterial small subunit ribosomal RNA", at positions 102 to 691 of the family's 1533-position model. The record is from RNAcentral.